GCAGCCGCCGCGGGAAUACAGAGGGUGCGAGCGUUAAUCGGAUUUACUGGGCGUAAAGCGUGCGUAGGCGGCUUUUUAAGUCGGAUGUGAAAUCCCUGAGCUUAACUUAGGAAUUGCAUUCGAUACUGGGAAGCUAGAGUAUGGGAGAGGAUGGUAGAAUUCCAGGUGUAGCGGUGAAAUGCGUAGAGAUCUGGAGGAAUACCGAUGGCGAAGGCAGCCAUCUGGCCUAAUACUGACGCUGAGGUACGAAAGCAUGGGGAGCAAACAGGAUUAGAUACCCCCGUAGUCCCUGUCUCUUAUAA
Molecule: ribosomal RNA, 302 nt
Filed under: uncultured bacterium
Lineage: Bacteria
Description: partial 16S ribosomal RNA
Rfam family: Bacterial small subunit ribosomal RNA
Source: RNAcentral